UUCCUCUAGAAAAAAGGAGGUAAGGCCUGCUCACUGAAAUAUUAAAGAGCCGCAGUAUCCUGACUGUGCUAAGGUAGCAUAAUCAUUCGUCUUUUAAUUGGAGACUGGUAUGAAUGGUUUAACGAGAAAUCAGCUUUUUUUAUCGUAAAGUUCGAAUUUAACUUCUUAGUGAAAAGGCUAAGAUAGAUCAAAAAGACGAGAAGACCCUAUAGAGUUUUACUAGUCCAAAUACUGAUCUUUGAUUCGGUUUUUGCAAAGAGCAUUAUUUAGUUAGUUUUGUUGGGGCGACAUUAAGAUAAAAAAAACUCUUUAUAUAAAAAAUUUUAAUGAAAAUAUGAUUGAUCCUUUAAAAAAGAUUAAAAGAAAAAUUACCUUAGGGAUAACAGCGUAAUCUUUUUUGAGAGUUCUAAUCGACAAGAAGGUUUGCGACCUCGAUGUUGGACUAAAAUUUAGGCAGGGUGCAGCAGUUCUGCUUUUAGGUCUGUUCGACCUAUAGUAUUUUACAUGAUCUGA
This 513-nucleotide ribosomal RNA is filed under the name Xenobalanus globicipitis. RNAcentral describes it as "partial 16S rRNA". It matches the Rfam family "Bacterial large subunit ribosomal RNA", at positions 1820 to 2608 of the family's 2925-position model. The record is from RNAcentral. Lineage: Eukaryota; Metazoa; Arthropoda; Thecostraca; Balanomorpha; Coronulidae.